Sus scrofa (pig) is the source of this 44-nucleotide regulatory RNA element. It matches the Rfam family "Prion pseudoknot". From Rfam's summary of the family: This family represents a predicted pseudoknot structure found in prion protein mRNA. It has been suggested that the family has a possible effect in prion protein translation. The record is from Rfam. NCBI's taxonomy places the organism in Eukaryota, Metazoa, Chordata, Mammalia, Artiodactyla, Suidae.
CCAUGGGGGGGGGAACCUGGGGGCAGCCCCAUGGGAGGGGCUGG